Dermacentor albipictus is the source of this 461-nucleotide long non-coding RNA. RefSeq lists it as uncharacterized. NCBI's taxonomy places the organism in Eukaryota, Metazoa, Arthropoda, Arachnida, Ixodida, Ixodidae. The record is from RefSeq and is a predicted model, not a curated record.
GUUAGACAGUAAAACGAAAGUAUAUAAACUCUUUCCAGGUACCAGCGACAAAACGAAGACGCUUGACAACGUCUGCUUGUAGGAUUGUGACUUUCGCCUUCCUAACUGUUCUAGCCGCCCACAUACCUGGACUGAGAGACCAUUUGAUUCGUAAUGGCUCUUGUGGUGUCAUUCAAAUCAGCAGUCUACGUGGCAAUGAUCCUAGAGGCCUUGUUUAUUGGAUUCAGCAGACCAGACUUUACGUGGGAGAACUGUAAUCAAACGUGCAAUCCUUCUCAAAAUAGAACGUGUUCUAGGGAAUACUGCUUCUGCGUACUUUUGAACUACAAUACCGAAGGGGAAUGUUACACCUAUUCAUGGCCAGGUAUGGAAUACGGGCCGCCGCCUUCAUACUAAGAGAUAGAGGCGGCCGCACGAAGAUUGCCGAAUGCUGAUAAAUAAAGCACUUUUAUCAUUCACGA